GUUUGCAGAGCACUGAACUUCUUCUUUUCCUUUUUCUUCUCCUUCUCCUCCUCUUCCUCUUUCUUCUCCUCCUCCUCCUCUUUCUCCUCCUCCUUUCUCCUCCUCUUCCUCCUCUUUCUCCUCCUCCUCCUCUUCUCCUUCUCCUGCUCCUCUUUCUUCUUCUUCUCCUCCUCCUCCUCCUCCUCCUCUUUCUUCUUCUUCCCCAUCUUCUCUUUCUUCCCCAUCUUCUUCUUCUUCUUCCCCUUCUCCUCCUCCUCUUCCUUCUCUUCCUCUUCCCCUUUCUCUCCCCUCUUUCCCUCCUCCCUCCUCCCCCUCAUCCUCCUCCUCCUCCUUCUCCUCCUCCUCUUUCUUCUUCUUCUUCUCCUCCUCCUGCUCCUCCUCUUUCUUCUUCUUCUUCUUCCCCAUAUUCUUCUUCUUCCCCUUCUCCUCCUCCUUCUCUUCCUCCUCAUCUUUCUCCUUCUCCUCCUCCUCCCCCUCAUCCUCCUCUUCCUCCUUCUCCUCUUUCUUCUUCUUCAUCUUCUUCUUCUUUGCCCCAACUCCUUCUUGACCACCAGGGGGCGCUCCAAGAGAACCGCAUUUGGGACAAGAAAAAAUGGACUCUGUUGCCACUUGAUCAGGAACUGUGGAAUAGUCUUCCAAACCACCUGGAUGGAAUAGAAAUAUCUACAAGCGUCAUCCAAGGCACUGCCCGUAAGCACUUAGUACAAUGCUCUGAACAUCGUAAGUGAUCGAUAAAUGCCAUUGAUUGAUCAACUGAUUGAUUGAGCUCUACCUACCGAUCAGCAUGUCUAGUGGAUGGACCACAGGCCUGGGAGUCAGAAGGAACUGGGUUCUAAUCCCAGCUCUGCCAAUUGUCUGCUGUGUGGUCUUGGACAUGUCACUUCACUUCACCAUGCCUCAGUUACCUCAUCUGAAAAAUAGUGAUUGAGACAGUGAGUGCCAUGUGGGACAUGGACUGUGUCCCACCUACUUGAUUAUUUUGUAUCCACCUUAUCUUGUAUCAGUAUAGCACAGUAUCUGGAACAAUAAUAAUAAUAAUAAUAGUAUUUGUUAAGUGCUUACUAUGUGCCAAGCACUGUUCUAAGAGCUGGG
Molecule: long non-coding RNA, 1092 nt
Filed under: Ornithorhynchus anatinus (platypus)
Lineage: Eukaryota; Metazoa; Chordata; Mammalia; Monotremata; Ornithorhynchidae
Description: lncRNA (ENSOANG00000048696.1)
Source: RNAcentral